UCCUGGCUCAGGACGAACGCUGGCGGCGUGCCUAAUACAUGCAAGUAGAACGCUGAAGACUUUAGCUUGCUAAAGUUGGAAGAGUUGCGAACGGGUGAGUAACGCGUAGGUAACCUGCCUACUAGCGGGGGAUAACUAUUGGAAACGAUAGCUAAUACCGCAUAACAGCAUUUAACCCAUGUUAGAUGCUUGAAAGGAGCAAUUGCUUCACUAGUAGAUGGACCUGCGUUGUAUUAGCUAGUUGGUGAGGUAACGGCUCACCAAGGCGACGAUACAUAGCCGACCUGAGAGGGUGAUCGGCCACACUGGGACUGAGACACGGCCCAGACUCCUACGGGAGGCAGCAGUAGGGAAUCUUCGGCAAUGGGGGCAACCCUGACCGAGCAACGCCGCGUGAGUGAAGAAGGUUUUCGGAUCGUAAAGCUCUGUUGUAAGAGAAGAACGUGUGUGAGAGUGGAAAGUUCACACAGUGACGGUAACUUACCAGAAAGGGACGGCUAACUACGUG
RNAcentral lists this ribosomal RNA (508 nucleotides) under uncultured Streptococcus sp. Its description in RNAcentral is "bacterial SSU rRNA". It matches the Rfam family "Bacterial small subunit ribosomal RNA", at positions 17 to 507 of the family's 1533-position model. The record is from RNAcentral. Lineage: Bacteria; Bacillati; Bacillota; Bacilli; Lactobacillales; Streptococcaceae.